AGAACGAACGCUGGCGGCAGGCCUCAAACAUGCAAGUCUAGGGGGCGUAGCAAUACGUCACCGGCGGACGGGUGCGUAACACGUGGGAAUGUACUUAUUGGUUCGGAACAACUCAGGGAAACUUGAGCUAAUACCGAAUGUGCCCGUAAGGGGAAAGAUUUAUCGCCAAUAAAUCAGCCCGCGUCCGAUUAGCUAGUUGGUGGGGUAAAGGCUCACCAAGGCGACGAUCGGUAGCUGUUCUGAGAGGAAGAUCAGCCACACUGGGACUGAGACACGGCCCAGACUCCUACGGGAGGCAGCAGUUGGGAAUCUUGGACAAUGGGGGAAACCCUGAUCCAGCCAUGCCGCGUGAGUGAUGAAGGCCUUAGGGUUGUAAACUCUUUCGGCGGGGACGAUAAUGACGGUACCCGCAGAAGAAGCUCCGGCUAACUUCGUGCCAGCAGCCGC
RNAcentral lists this ribosomal RNA (447 nucleotides) under uncultured bacterium. RNAcentral's name for it is "SSU rRNA". It matches the Rfam family "Bacterial small subunit ribosomal RNA", at positions 26 to 518 of the family's 1533-position model. The record is from RNAcentral.